UGAGGAAUCUUCCACAAUGGGCGAAAGCCUGAUGGAGCAACGCCGCGUGCAGGAUGAAGGCCCUCGGGUCGUAAACUGCUUUUAUAAGUGAAGAAUAUGACGGUAACUUAUGAAUAAGCACCGGCUAACUACGUGCCAGCAGCCGCGGUCAUACGUAGGGUGCAAGCAUUAUCCGGAGUGACUGGGCGUAAAGAGUUGCGUAGGUGGACAAGUAAGCGAAUAGUGAAAUCCGACGGCUCAACCGUAUGGACUAUUACUCGAACUGCUUGUCUCGAGAAUGGUAGAGGUAACUGGAAUUUCUAGUGUAGGAGUGAAAUCCGUAGAUAUUAGAAGGAACACCAAUGGCGUAGGCAGGUUACUGGACCAUUUCUGACACUGAGGCACGAAAGCGUGGGGAGCGAACCGGAUUAGAUACCCGUGUAGUCC
Molecule: ribosomal RNA, 426 nt
Filed under: uncultured bacterium
Lineage: Bacteria
Description: bacterial SSU rRNA
Rfam family: Bacterial small subunit ribosomal RNA
Source: RNAcentral